GCUGGCACGCAAUGGUGGUGGGAUCUAGCAGAGGAUUGACCUCACCGCAACUCGAGGAUGUCCGGCCGAUGAGGAAGAGGAAAGAACAGAAAGGUAUAUGCAGAUCAUCAUUUUAUAAUAUUAAUCCGUAACAAUAAUAUCCGGAAGCGUAGCAUAACCGCUCAGAAAAUACAGAACGCUUUGUUGAUGUNNNNNNNNNNGAAUCAAGUUCUUUUUUUCAGUUUUGAAUGUGUGGGGGGGCAUGUCAACUAAUCAUGUAUUAGCUCUGCGCAUGUUCACCAGGGAGCAUACCACCACUUUUGUUGGAUCUCAGGCAUCUCUACUACCAGCACCUUUGUGCAUUCUGAUACCUUCCAUGCCAAAUUGUGAGACUAACGAGUACAAGGGAGAANNNNNNNNNNGUUAAAGUGUGGGUUGUUCAUUUUGUAAUAUUAAUCCGUAACAAUAAUAUCUGGAAGCGUAGCAUAACCGCUCAGAAAAUACAGAACGCUUUGUUGAUGUUGUUCCGUGGCACCUAGACCAGCGCUCAAAUCAAGUUUUUUUUUUCAGUUUUGAAGUGUGUGUGUGUGGGGGGGGGGCAUGUCAACUAAUCAUGUAUUAGCUCUGCGCACGUUCACCAGGGAGCAUACCACCACUUUUGUUGGAUCUCAGACAUCUCUACUACCAGCACCUUUGUGCAUCCUGAUACCUUCCAUGCCAAAUUGUGAGACUAACGAGUACAAGGGAGAACGAAUAAAGGGCGCGGCGCUAAUCCCUGAAAGGAAAAGGGUGGGGAGAUGGUCUGAGGAUGAGGACAAGCGCCUCCUGGUAUCUGGCAAGAUUUUUAGGUCUGGCAG
This 836-nucleotide long non-coding RNA is filed under the name Hordeum vulgare. RNAcentral describes it as "long non-coding RNA (HVUL_LNC013793)". The record is from RNAcentral. Lineage: Eukaryota; Viridiplantae; Streptophyta; Magnoliopsida; Poales; Poaceae.